UACGAAGGGUGCAAGCGUUACUCGGAAUUACUGGGCGUAAAGGGUGCGUAGGUGGUCGUUUAAGUCCGUUGUGAAAUCCCUGGGCUCAACCUGGGAAUGGCAGUGGAUACUGGACGGCUAGAAUGCGGUAGAGGGUAGUGGAAUUCCCGGUGUAGCAGUGAAAUGCGUAGAGAUCGGGAGGAACACCAGUGGCGAAGGCGGCUACCUGGACCAGCAUUGACACUCAA
Molecule: ribosomal RNA, 227 nt
Filed under: uncultured bacterium
Lineage: Bacteria
Description: partial 16S ribosomal RNA
Rfam family: Bacterial small subunit ribosomal RNA
Source: RNAcentral